UCUCCGUAGGUGAACCUGCGGAGGGAUCAUUACCGAGCUCAUGCCCUUACGGGUAGAUCUCCCACCCUGUGUUAUUAUUACCUUUGUUGCUUUGGCGGGCCGCCAGGCUCCGGUCAGGCUAUCGGCUUCGGCUGGUAAGCGCCCGCCAGAGGACCCUAUAUCCUGAUUAUUAGUGUCGUCUGAGUACUAUAUAAUAGCUAAAACUUUCAACAACGGAUCUCUUGGUUCUG
Molecule: unclassified non-coding RNA, 230 nt
Filed under: plant metagenome
Description: partial contains small subunit ribosomal RNA, internal transcribed spacer 1, and 5.8S ribosomal RNA
Source: RNAcentral